This 2538-nucleotide ribosomal RNA is filed under the name Campylobacter coli. RNAcentral describes it as "partial 23S ribosomal RNA". It matches the Rfam family "Bacterial large subunit ribosomal RNA", at positions 1 to 2394 of the family's 2925-position model. Lineage: Bacteria; Pseudomonadati; Campylobacterota; Epsilonproteobacteria; Campylobacterales; Campylobacteraceae. The record is from RNAcentral.
AGGUAAGCUACUAAGAGCGAAUGGUGGAUGCCUUGACUGGUAAAGGCGAUGAAGGACGUACUAGACUGCGAUAAGCUACGGGGAGCUGUCAAGAAGCUUUGAUCCGUAGAUUUCCGAAUGGGGCAACCCAAUGUAUAGAGAUAUACAUUACCUAUAUAGGAGCAAACGAGGGGAAUUGAAACAUCUUAGUACCCUCAGGAAAAGAAAUCAAUAGAGAUUGCGUCAGUAGCGGCGAGCGAAAGCGCAAGAGGGCAAACCCAGUGCUUGCACUGGGGGUUGUAGGACUGCAAUGUGCAAGAGGUGAGUUUAGCAGAACAUUCUGGAAAGUAUAGCCAUAGAGGGUGAUAGUCCCGUAUGCGAAAAACAAACCUUAGCUAGCAGUAUCCUGAGUAGGGCGGGACACGAGAAAUCCUGUCUGAAGCUGGGUCGACCACGAUCCAACCCUAAAUACUAAUACCAGAUCGAUAGUGCACAAGUACCGUGAGGGAAAGGUGAAAAGAACUGAGGUGAUCAGAGUGAAAUAGAACCUGAAACCAUUUGCUUACAAUCAUUCAGAGCCCUAUGUAGCAAUACAGGGUGAUGGACUGCCUUUUGCAUAAUGAGCCUGCGAGUUGUGGUGUCUGGCAAGGUUAAGCAAACGCGAAGCCGUAGCGAAAGCGAGUCUGAAUAGGGCGCUUAGUCAGAUGCUGCAGACCCGAAACGAAGUGAUCUAUCCAUGAGCAAGUUGAAGCUAGUGUAAGAACUAGUGGAGGACUGAACCCAUAGGCGUUGAAAAGCCCCGGGAUGACUUGUGGAUAGGGGUGAAAGGCCAAUCAAACUUCGUGAUAGCUGGUUCUCUCCGAAAUAUAUUUAGGUAUAGCGUUGUGUCGUAAUAUAAGGGGGUAGAGCACUGAAUGGGCUAGGGCAUACACCAAUGUACCAAACCCUAUCAAACUCCGAAUACCUUAUAUGUAAUCACAGCAGUCAGGCGGCGAGUGAUAAAAUCCGUCGUCAAGAGGGAAACAACCCAGACUACCAGCUAAGGUCCCUAAAUCUUACUUAAGUGGAAAACGAUGUGAAGUUACUUAAACAACCAGGAGGUUGGCUUAGAAGCAGCCAUCCUUUAAAGAAAGCGUAAUAGCUCACUGGUCUAGUGAUUUUGCGCGGAAAAUAUAACGGGGCUAAAGUAAGUACCGAAGCUGUAGACUUGCGCACAACUUAGAUUAUUUAAGUUUAGAAUAUGAGAAACUAAGUUAUAUGUUUAGUUAUAUUUUUACUGAUUUUUAUAGAGUAAAGAUAGAAAUAAAACUUAGUAAAAUCAGUAAAAAUAUUCUUAGACUAAAGUUAAGUAGUUUAAGUUGUGUGCAAGUGGUAGGAGAGCGUUCUAUUUGCGUCGAAGGUAUACCGGUAAGGAGUGCUGGAGCGAAUAGAAGUGAGCAUGCAGGCAUGAGUAGCGAUAAUUAAUGUGAGAAUCAUUAACGCCGUAAACCCAAGGUUUCCUACGCGAUGCUCGUCAUCGUAGGGUUAGUCGGGUCCUAAGUCGAGUCCGAAAGGGGUAGACGAUGGCAAAUUGGUUAAUAUUCCAAUACCAACAUUAGUGUGCGAUGGAAGGACGCUUAGGGCUAAGGGGGCUAGCGGAUGGAAGUGCUAGUCUAAGGUCGUAGGAGGUUAUACAGGCAAAUCCGUAUAACAAUACUCCGAGAACUGAAAGGCUUUUUGAAGUCUUCGGAUGGAUAGAAGAACCCCUGAUGCCGUCGAGCCAAGAAAAGUUUCUAAGUUUAGCUAAUGUUGCCCGUACCGUAAACCGACACAGGUGGGUGGGAUGAGUAUUCUAAGGCGCGUGGAAGAACUCUCUUUAAGGAACUCUGCAAAAUAGCACCGUAUCUUCGGUAUAAGGUGUGGUUCGCUUCGUAUUAGGAUUUACUCCGAAAGCGAAGAAACUUACAACAAAGAGUCCCUCCCGACUGUUUACCAAAAACACAGCACUCUGCUAACUCGUAAGAGGAUGUAUAGGGUGUGACGCCUGCCCGGUGCUCGAAGGUUAAUUGAUGGGGUUAGCAUUAGCGAAGCUCUUGAUCGAAGCCCGAGUAAACGGCGGCCGUAACUAUAACGGUCCUAAGGUAGCGAAAUUCCUUGUCGGUUAAAUACCGACCUGCAUGAAUGGCGUAACGAGAUGGGAGCUGUCUCAAAGAGGGAUCCAGUGAAAUUGUAGUGGAGGUGAAAAUUCCUCCUACCCGCGGCAAGACGGAAAGACCCCGUGGACCUUUACUACAGCUUGACACUGCUAUUUGGAUAAGAAUGUGCAGGAUAGGUGGGAGGCUUUGAGUAUAUGACGCCAGUUGUAUAUGAGCCAUUGUUGAGAUACCACUCUUUCUUAUUUGGGUAGCUAACCAGCUUGAGUUAUCCUCAAGUGGGACAAUGUCUGGUGGGUAGUUUGACUGGGGCGGUCGCCUCCCAAAUAAUAACGGAGGCUUACAAAGGUUGGCUCAGAACGGUUGGAAAUCGUUCGUAGAGUAUAAAGGUAUAAGCCAGCUUAACUGCAAGACAUACAAGUCAAGC